UACGGAGGGGGCUAGCGUUGUUCGGAAUUACUGGGCGUAAAGCGCGCGUAGGCGGAUCUGCAAGUCGGGGGUGAAAUCCCGAGGCUCAACCUCGGAACUGCCUUCGAUACUGCGGGUCUCGAGUCCGGGAGAGGUGAGUGGAAUUCCUAGUGUAGAGGUGAAAUUCGUAGAUAUUAGGAAGAACACCAGUGGCGAAGGCGGCUCACUGGCCCGGUACUGGACGCUGAGGCGCGAAAGCGUGGGGAGCAAACAGG
Molecule: ribosomal RNA, 254 nt
Filed under: uncultured bacterium
Lineage: Bacteria
Description: partial 16S ribosomal RNA
Rfam family: Bacterial small subunit ribosomal RNA
Source: RNAcentral